Molecule: non-coding RNA, 1843 nt
Organism: Pelobates cultripes (western spadefoot toad)
Lineage: Eukaryota; Metazoa; Chordata; Amphibia; Anura; Pelobatidae
Source: the annotation of a GenBank genome assembly
GGAUGAAGCUCAUCUAAGACUUAAUUGAUGACUCCGGAGGAGGGACUCCUUUACGCCAACUGCAUGGAACUACCUGCAGGUUUGUUCGAAAUUCACAGUAUUGCUCGCUACCUUCCGGCAUGGACUUCUCACCGGUUGCCCACUACGGACUGCAGUCGGAUCUCACAUAGGAUCGCUAUCUAUAGCUUCUGGACAAGUAUUCGUCAUUUGUGACAGAAUGUAUGCGGGACGAGACACUUGUGUGGUGGACGGCUUCACCCGGCCAUGGAGAGACCCCAAUGAUUGGUUGCCUCACCCUCCAGGGUCUCGAGUACUGGCAUGAUUACAUUCGGUGCGAACCGCCAUAUGGAGCGGUUCUCCAACUGGCUGCCGGACCCUCAGCGAGGCGAGGGACGAGUUUUCCAAACUUGGUCUCCUUCGGGGCGUACGCAUCCCGUUUACCUACAGGAUACUCUGGGUUUUUGCUUCAGACCGAAUUCCUGGAAGUGUCGUUUCGCCUGGCCAAACCACUUCGGAGGAGUCCUGCGUGCUUUCCCCUUUUUGCUCGAGUUUGCCAUGGGAAGGCAAUCUACGACUCCCUGUCUCUUAAUGUCCCACUUGGGAUCCACAGGGGUAGCCUGCCACGACUUAUGUUUGGGUCCCAAUGGCGGUCCUUAUCAUGACUGUCCCCAUUGUCUGGCUGAGUUGCCCUCUCAGGGUAGGAUCGUAUGGGGCCAUUCACGUCCUAUGUCAGCUAGUGGACGACUCAUGUGCGUUUCUCAAGAUUCUGGCAUUGCUAAGGAUCUCUUGGUCUGCAGUCUACCAAGAGGAGUAUACCGUACGGGAGCCCUAUCUCUUGACAGUUUUUUCCGCUUACGGUUUCCCCCCAGUACAUCUUGUAUUUCAUCGCGUUCUGACGUCAUGGUAUCGACGUGUCUUCUUCCUUCUUGCCGUUCAGUACAUCGGCUUCUGCACAACACAUAUUUCAUUUUUAUUCGUCCUCUGUGUCGUACCCCUAUUCUCCGGAUAGGCCACAGCUCUGUUGACAGAUUGUACACGACCAUGUAGAUCCAGGAUCUGGCUCUUUCGUCCGUCUACUCAUGGACAGCUGUUUAUUUCUGCGUAUGGCCGUUUUGGACUGUUUCUGCAUCUUCGCUCGCCCGUUGGAUUUGGUGGAUCCUCUCAUUGACUGACCUUGAGUUCCUCUGUGACACUUUUGGUUCGGGGUGCUGUCACCUCAACAAUUUUGGAAGCCGUUGGGUCCCUUCUGCAUUUUCUCUACACCGCUGCUUUGUUUAGGGAAUCAGUUUUUCCAUUCUCCUUUAUUUCAGUCCUCUAUCUCAUAUUGCUUCUGGUUCUACUAUUUGGGCGUUAAAAUUGCAAAUAUGAAGCCUCCUGUCCUGCCAUAAAAUUAGGGAUUAUUCUAGCCUCGGUGAGGGAAUAAUCUAAAUUUUAUUAAAGACAGGAGGCGAAUAUUUCCCCCCCUUUUUUUACGUUCCCUCCCUGGAUCUGGGUUUUAUUCUAUUAUAAAUAAUUGGGGAUAUUGUUUAUGUUUUGUGAAUGCAUGGUUUUACAUAAUAAAGGUUAUUUCUAAUAUUCAGUGAUGGUUGUCCGUGUGCGUUUUAUUCAUCAUGUUUGUGUUGUAAUUAUGUUUCGUCAAUGCCUUUUAGCUUAGGUACAUACUAGGUCUUCAUAAGAUCUGUAGACUUUGUUUAUUCAUCAGGUAUUAUGAUGUGAAAGUGAUAUUGUAUGGAUAUGACAUCUUGCCUUGACAGUUUACUUUCACAAUGUUUUCUGUUUUCUUGCAGUGUAAUCUGUUUUCUCUCUGGGCUUGACGAUUGUUUCUCUGGAUGUGUCUGCUACA